UCCGGCUUAACGCCGGCAGUCUACCUAGAGUGCCCAACUUAAUGGUGGCAACUAAGUACGAGGGUUGCGCUCGUUGCAGGACUUAACCCAACAUCUCACGACACGAGCUGACGGCAGCCAUGCAGCACCUGUGUUCCCGUUCCCUUUCGGGCACACCCGGCUUUCACCGGGCUCCAGGACAUGUCAAGGGUAGGUAAGGUUUUUCGCGUUGCAUCGAAUUAAUCCACAUAAUCCACCGCUUGUGCGGGUCCCCGUCAAUUCCUUUGAGUUUCAACCUUGCGGUCGUACUCCCCAGGCGGGGUACUUCCUGCGUUAGCGCCGGCACCCAGAGGGUCGCUCCCCCAGGCACCUAGUACCCAUCGUUUACGGCGUGGACUAC
This 379-nucleotide unclassified non-coding RNA is filed under the name uncultured bacterium. RNAcentral's name for it is "contains 16S-23S intergenic spacer region". The record is from RNAcentral.